Molecule: non-coding RNA, 114 nt
Organism: Paramuricea clavata
Lineage: Eukaryota; Metazoa; Cnidaria; Anthozoa; Malacalcyonacea; Plexauridae
Source: the annotation of a GenBank genome assembly
AGCUUAAAAAACUUUAAUAAGUUUGUCAGACGUUUCGCCGGUUAGGGCUUGUGUCAUUUGUGUCACUGAUGAAGCCCUAACCGGCGAAACGUCUGACAAACUUAUUAAAGUUUU